GAUGUCUGAAAGUAUCAAGGUUAUUGUCUCUCUCUUUCUUGUGGUGUUAUUGGCUCUUGCAGCAACCCAGACAGAGUCAAGAUACAUAAAUUAUCAUGCCCUUCAUGGAGAUCACAGUUUAAUUUGUGAUAAAGCGCACCCAAACACCUGCGAGAAGGAAGAAGCCAAUCCUUAUACUAGAGGAUGCGAGACAAUCGAUCGUUGUCGUGGUCAAUCUCUAGGCCCAAAAAUGUGAAUCGACCAAGUAGAGUACACCACCCUUGGUUAAUUUUACAAAUGAUAUCUCCAUAUUAAUAUCAGAUGAUUAAUUUCAUUCAUUAUUUAUUUAUAAUCUGUAUUGGUUUGUAACUGAUUGUUACCCUAUCAUUUAUGAUAUAAAACAAAUAUAUUUAUGUUAUCUUUUUAUUUUUGAAUAUAUGUUUAAUUUAUUCAAAAGAAAACAAACUUUUUUACCCAAGUGCCACUAAGUUUUGUAAACAAUUAUCCACAAGCUUAAACCAGCUGCGUUCUUGAACUCUCUCGUUUGAUAAAAGGAGAGACACCGAUUGCGAACAAGUUUCUCCAAAGAUUUGGCAAGAGAUGUCACUGUCGUAAGAGCUGCUCCUUGUCUUCUAUCGUUACGUUCUUUCCAUAGUACAUGAACUGAAGCUUGUAAUACAUACCGUGUGAGAAAACGUUGGAGAAAACUGUGUCUUUUAUCUAAGGAACAUAAUCCUCCUGUUUUCUGAUAUUCUCCCAUGUUCUUUUAGUACUGAAAACUGGUUUGUAUUUUUCCUCCUUGUAUUUCCAGUGAGAUUGAUCCUCCACAACUGAAAUUUAUCCCUUUAAGCAUCUAUAAGUGUUUCCACCUCAUUAAAACGAUCAACUCGAUGCCUUCGUCUUCUUCGAUUAGCAACAGCCUUUGCGACAGUGAAUUUUAAAGGAAUUCCUAUGUAAAGCUAUUCCCGCGCCAUUGGAAUUUAAAGGAUUUGGAUAUAGUUUAAUUGUUGAUUUUAAAUGAUAUCUCAAUUAUUUGGGCGAUUGUAACUAUUUAUUGUUGUUUUGAAUAUUUAUAUAUAUAUAUAUAUAUUAAAAUAUUAUUUAUUUAUUUUAAAAUUAGUUAAAUAAAAACUUAUACCCCCAGUUAAAUAAAAACUAGCUCUACCACUGAUUGAACCUUGCAAGCUAGAUAUGUGUUGGAUCUUUUUUCGGAUAUAGCUUCUAUCCGAACAUCAGUCAUGUCAUCUUCCUCAUCGCUAGGGGUAUAUUUAGAAAGAGAAAAAUGAAAUAUAGGGUUUGGACCCCCAUUUUUAAAGGCUCACUUUUAAAAGGUUAUGUAGUUAAUUUUUUAAAAAACAUUUUACCAUUUCAUGUAAAGGAAAGAAGUGCAAACCAAGAAUGAAAAAAUGAUAAUAAUAAUAAAACAUAACUAAAGUAGGAGCUACAAUUAACAUAAAAAAGAAAAAAUAUUAUAUUUACAUAGACUUUUUAACUUUGUCUUUUCCUCUUUCUCCAUGACUCUUAAGCUUUUUCUCGUCUGUAAUAUUUGGGUUAGGCAUGGGCAUUCGAGGUUCCAAUCGGGUUUCGGUUUUGUCCAAUCAGAUCUCGGGUUUUCGGGUUUAUCAAAAUCAGUCUCAUUCGGGUUAUACAAAAAUUCGGUUCGGGACCAGUUCGGGUUCGGAUCGGGGUUAGUAAAUCUUCAAAGAACCGGUACAACCCGAUGUACUUUCGGGUUUGAGUCCCAAUCGGUUCUUUGGUUUAAAAGUACAUAAUUUGUAUUUACUUUGUAACCAAAACAUAAGUAAAAUCAGUUUUUCGGUUUUAAAAUACCUGAUUUAUAUCUAUUUUGUAACCAAAACAUAAGUUAAAUCGAUUCAAAAAUAAGAAAAGAACAUCAAACGCGAUCAUUCAAAAUUAAACGAAAGGUAAUGAUAGAAAGAAAACCAAAUAAAAUAAAGCAUAAAACAAAAACUAAGUUCUCAUGAAAUGAAAAAUAUUAUUCAAUGAAAACAAAACCAAAAUCUAAGAACUUCAAGCUUCAACCACCAACUUCAACCAUCAACAUUUAUGUAAUAUAUAAUUACUUUAGAUGUUCAAUAAUUUCUUAGUGUGUUCUGAAUACUAAAGAUUUAAGAUUAUGUUUGAUACAAGCUAUUUUGGGAGAUUUUGAAUUUUUUGGGUUCUAUCGAGUAUCCAUAUAGGUUCGGGUUCGGUUCGGAUAACACUCAUAACCCAAAAUACCACAAAACAAGAUCCAAUCGGUAUUUACGUCGUGUCGUGUCGGAUCGGUUCAGAUUCAUUUUUAUCGAAUCGGGUUCGAUUUAUUUGCCCAGCUCUAAUUUGGGUAGGCCCCCAUUUUUUCUUGCUUAUGGCCUCAUUUAUUGCCGAGAUCCCCCUACUCACCGCCUUCCGGAACGCCUUUAAAAGUUGUUUUGCGACCUUUAAUCUUGAACAAGGAAAGCAAAUUAUAUCUGUCAUUGCUAAAGAUCCCUUAAUUUUAAGAAAACAUCAACCAGCUGAUCUAUAUACUAAAAGUAUCUGUUUACUAAAAAUUACAUGUUUACUAAUUAAUCACCAUCCCAAAAAUAACUAUUUGAAGUACAUCCACUAUCUUCUAUAUAAGUACCAAUAACCUCUUCUUCAAAACCAAACAGAGCCGAUACCAAAUACAAUUAAAUAUAUAAACACAAAAUAAUUGAGCUCCUAGUCGGGGUUUCUCUUAUAAACUAUUUAUUUAUUUAAUUUGGUUGGAAAAUAAAAAUAAAUAGUAUGGGGAUGUCUGAAAGUAUCAAGGUUAUUGUCUCUCUCUUUCUUGUGGUGUUAUUGGCUCUUGCAGCAACCCAGACAGAGUCAAGAUACAUAAAUUAUCAUGCCCUUCAUGGAGAUCACAGUUUGAUUUGUGAUAAAGCGCACCCAAACACCUGCAAGAAGGAAGAAGCCAAUCCUUAUACCAGAGGAUGCGAGACAAUCGAUCGUUGUCGUGGUCAAUCUCUAGGCCCAAAAAUGUGAAUCGACCAAGUAGCGUACCACCCUUGGUUAAUUUUACAAAUGAUAUCUCCAUAUUAAUAUCAGAUGAUUAAUUUCAUUCAUUAUUUAUUUAUAAUCUGUAUUGGUUUGUAACUGAUUGUUACCCUAUCAUUUAUGAUAUAAAACAAAUAUAUUUAUGUUAUCUUUUUAUUUUUGAAUAUAUGUUUAAUUUAUUCAAAAGAAAACAAACUUUUUUACCCAAGUGCCACUAAGUUUUGUAAACAAUUAUCCACAAGCUUAAACCAGCUACGUUCUUGAACUCUCUCGUUUGAUAAAAGGAGAGACACCGAUUGCGAACAAGUUUCUCCAAAGAUUUGGCAAGAGAUGUCACUGUCGUAAGAGCUGCUCCUUGUCUUCUAUCGUUACGUUCUUUCCAUAGUACAUGAACUGAAGCUUGUAAUACAUACCGUGUGAGAAAACGUUGGAGAAAACUGUGUCUUUUAUCUAAGGAACAUAAUCCUCCUGUUUUCUGAUAUUCUCCCAUGUUCUUUUAGUACUGAAAACUGGUUUGUAUUUUUCCUCCUUGUAUUUCCAGUGAGAUUGAUCCUCCACAACUGAAAUUUAUCCCUUUAAGCAUCUAUAAGUGUUUCCACCUCAUUAAAACGAUCAACUCGAUGCCUUCGUCUUCUUCGAUUAGCAACAGCCUUUGCGACAGUGAAUUUUAAAGGAAUUCCUAUGUAAAGCUAUUCCCGCGCCAUUGGAAUUUAAAGGAUUUGGAUAUAGUUUAAUUGUUGAUUUUAAAUGAUAUCUCAAUUAUUUGGGCGAUUGUAACUAUUUAUUGUUGUUUUGAAUAUUUAUAUAUAUAUAUAUUAAAAUAUUAUUUAUUUAUUUUAAAAUUAGUUAAAUAAAAACUUAUACCCCCAGUUAAAUAAAAACUAGCUCUACCACUGAUUGAACCUUGCAAGCUAGAUAUGUGUUGGAUCUUUUUUCGGAUAUAGCUUCUAUCCGAACAUCAGUCAUGUCAUCUUCCUAAUCGCUAGGGGUAUAUUUAGAAAGAGAAAAAUGAAAUAUAGGGCUUGGACCCCCAUUUUUAAAGGCUCACUUUUAAAAGGUUAUGUAGUUAAUUUUUUAAAAAACAUUUUACCAUUUCAUGUAAAGGAAAGAAGUGCAAACCAAGAAUGAAAAAAUGAUAAUAAUAAUAAAACAUAACUAAAGUAGGAGCUACAAUUAACAUAAAAAAGAAAAAAAUAUUAUUUACAUAGACUUUUUAACUUUGUCUUUUCCUCUUUCUCCAUGACUCUUAAGCUUUUUCUCGUCUGUAAUAUUUGGGUUAGGCAUGGACAUUCGAGGUCCCAAUCGGGUUUCGGUUUUGUCCAAUCAGAUCUCGGGUUUUCGGGUUUAUCAAAAUCAGUCUCAUUCGGGUUAUACAAAAAUUCGGUUCGGGACCAGUUCGGGUUCGGGUUCGGGUCGGGGUUAGUAAAUCUUCAAAGAACCGGUACAACCCGAUGUACUUUCGGGUUUGAGUCCCAAUCGGUUCUUUGGUUUAAAAGUACAUAAUUUGUAUUUACUUUGUAACCAAAACAUAAGUAAAAUCAUUUCUUCGGUUUUAAAAUACCUGAUUUAUAUCUAUUUUGUAACCAAAACAUAAGUUAAAUCGAUUCAAAAAUAAGAAAAGAACAUCAAACGCGAUCAUUCAAAAUUAAACGAAAGGUAAUGAUAGAAAGAAAACCAAAUAAAAUAAAGCAUAAAACAAAAACUAAGUUCUCAUGAAAUGAAAAAUAUUAUUCAAUGAAAACAAAACCAAAAUCUAAGAACUUCAAGCUUCAACCACCAACUUCAACCAUCAACAUUAAUGUAAUAUAUAAUUACUUUAGAUGUUCAAUAAUUUCUUAGUGUGUUCUGAAUACUAAAGAUUUAAGAUCAUGUUUGAUACAAGCUAUUUUGGGAGAUUUUGAAUUUUUUGGGUUCUAUCGAGUAUCCAUAUAGGUUCGGGUUCGGUUCGGAUAACACUCAUAACCCAAAAUACCACAAAACAAGAUCCAAUCGGUAUUUACGUCGUGUCGGAUCGGUUCGGAUUCAUUUUUAUCGAAUCGGGUUCGAUUUAUUUGCCCAGCUCUAAUUUGGGUAGGCCCCCAUUUUUUCUUGCUUAUGGCCUCAUUUAUUGCCGAGAUCCCCCUACUCACCGCCUUCCGGAACGCCUUUAAAAGUUGUUUUGCGACCUUUAAUCUUGAACAAGGAAAGCAAAUUAUAUCUGUCAUUGCUAAAGAUCCCUUAAUUUUAAGAAAACAUCAACCAGCUGAUCUAUAUACUAAAAGUAUCUGUUUACUAAAAAUUACAUGUUUACUAAUUAAUCACCAUCCCAAAAAUAACUAUUUGAAGUACAUCCAUUAUCUUCUAUAUAAGUACCAAUAACCUCUUCUUCAAAACCAAACAGAGCCGAUACCAAAUACAAUUAAAUAUAUAAACACAAAAUAAUUGAGCUCCUAGUCGGGGUUUCUCUUAUAAACUAUUUAUUUAUUUAAUUUGUUUGGAAAAUAAAAAUAAAUAGUAUGGGGAUGUCUGAAAGUAUCAAGGUUAUUGUCUCUCUCUUUCUUGUGGUGUUAUUGGCUCUUGCAGCAACCCAGACAGAGUCAAGAUACAUAAAUUAUCAUGCCCUUCAUGGAGAUCACAGUUUGAUUUGUGAUAAAGCGCACCCAAACACCUGCAAGAAGGAAGAAGCCAAUCCUUAUACCAGAGGAUGCGAGACAAUCGAUUGUUGUCGUGGUCAAUCUCUAGGCCCAAAAAUGUGAAUCGACCAAGUAGCGUACCACCCUUGGUUAAUUUUACAAAUGAUAUCUCCAUAUUAAUAUCAGAUGAUUAAUUUCAUUCAUUAUUUAUUUAUAAUCUGUAUUGGUUUGUAACUGAUUGUUACCCUAUCAUUUAUGAUAUAAAACAAAUAUAUUUAUGUUAUCUUUUUAUUUUUAAAUAUAUGUUUAAUUUAUUCAAAAGAAAACAGACUUUUUUACCCAAGUGCCACUAAGUUUUGUCAAAAAUUAUCCACAAGCUUAAACCAGCUGCGUUCUUGAAAUCUCUCGUUUGAUAAAAGGAGAGACACCGAUUGCGAACCAGUUUCUUCAAAGAUUUGGCAAGAGAUGUCACUGUCGUAAGAGCUGCUCCUUGUCUUCUAUCGUUACGUUCUUUCCAUAGUACAUGAACUGAAGCUUAUAAUACAUACCGUGUGAGAAAACGUUGGAGAAAACUGUGUCUUUUAUCUAAGGAACAUAAUCCUCCUGUUUGCUGAUAUUCUCCCAUGUUCUUUUAGUACUGAAAACUGGUUUGUAUUUUUCCUCCUUGUAAUUCCAGAGAGAUUGAUCCCCCACAACAGAAAUUUAUCCCUUUGGUCAUCUAUAAGUGUUUCCACCUCAUUAAAACGAUCCACUCGAUGCCUUCGUCAUCUUUGAUUAGGAACAGCCAUUGCGACAGUGGAUUUUAAAGGAAUUACCAUGUCAAUACAUUCCCACGCCCCGAACAGAUCAUACAGCCUUCCCAUUGUUGUCCAUGAAUCAAGCCAGAUUGAGUUAUUCCUUCCAUCUCCAACUUUCAUCCUGUGAAACUAGUUUUUCAUAUCUCAGAACUUCAAUAGUUUUUGCCACAUCCAAGAUCCACGUUUUAGCAGGUAUACUUUAAUCCAUUGAAACCAAAGGGACGAUGUAGGAUAAACAAUACACCAAAUUAACUAUAAACAACAGACCUUGUUUAUUUCUUUUAAAGAACGUAGACCUAUGCCCCCCCCCCCCCACAUUUUUCUCUACUGAGAAGAGCCCAAGAUAUCUUAGCUUUGCGUGGAUUCAACUCAGAUAUCCAGACCAUAAAAAUGCAGAGCCCAACGAUCAUGGAGUUCACUGUAUUCCACGCAUCUAGAUCUCCAUAUUCUUUCGACGGCUUUGGUAAAGUUCCAUCUAUGAAACCCGACUUCCUCUUCGCACGCAAGGCAUUCUCCAACCCUGAGGCCCAUUCAGCAUAAUUCUCGCCGGUGAUUUGUACCGGAGAUAUUGCUAUACCCGGAUUAUCAGACGCUGAUAACUCAUAUGGAGAGUACGAUUUGGUAUCCAACACGGUGCCUGAUGCCAUCGUUAACUUGAAGGCAAAGAAAUUGUUUUUAAAUUUUAGAGGGUAGGCCCUGAUAUCAUGUAAAGUAACAAAGGAGAAGACCUCCAUAUAUACACACGUACAAUGACUCUAGAUAUACCCAAAUAAUAUGGACACUUAUCUAAAUAUACAUAUCAUUUAUCUCCAACAUAUUAGGAGACUUAUCUAGAACCUCCAGGAUUUAUCUCAACAUGCACUCACCAGGCAGAAUAAAACCAGCCAUCCAAAAGUUCACAAUUCUUAAGAGAGCCAGUUUUAUCAGCUGAAGCCUACCAUCCAGUGAUAAAAAUGUUUUUGUCCAGUGAGGGGUGCAGUUUCUUAUUUUCUCGAUCAAGGGACAGUAGUUUCACUUCCCGGACAGAGUGCAUUUUUCGAUCUCUACUAUUUGUGUCGUGCCUUUUCAGAUCUAAACAAAACAUAAGUGAUAAAUAUGAUCUAAACUAAAAACUAAUUUCAAUUGUAGACCUAAAAAAACAUAAGUGCUAAAUACAACGUCGUUUAUCUAAUUCAUGUCUAUAAUUCAAAUUAAUUUAGUUUAGGUCGUAUUUAGCACUUAUGUUUUGCUUGGGUGUGCAACACGAAUAGUAAAGGUUGAAAAAUACCAUUUUCCCCUGACUUCCCCAUAUGCCUUGUAAGCAAAGGUAGACUAAAGAUAGCGUACCAGUGACACUCCAGAGGCAAAAUGAAACCGAUUUCUGUCUGAUGCAAAGUAUUUUCAGACAUGCCAGCACAAUAUAUAGUUGUCUUAUCCAUGAUUAUGUGCAGACCAUAGACUUUCCCGAAGUAAUCAAAUACCGCACAACAAUGCAUUAUAUUGACCUGAUUAUACCAUCAGUGAACACCAUAAUGUCAUCAGCAAAAUUUAAUAAGUAUGUUAAGUCAAUAUUCUUACACUUCAGAUGGUAACCCAUAUUUCUUUCAUUUGCUGACUUAUCAAGAAGUUCUGACAAGACAUUCAUGCAAAUUACAAAUAGAUAGGAAGAUAGAGCAAAUCCCUGUCACAAUCUUCUUGUGUUCUAUUUUAUUUAGAAAAUAUAGAUUAGAAAUGUAAUUUUACAAUCUUUCUCUAUCCCUCAUUCUCUUCACGAUGCAUUAAUGUUGCGAUUGGUUAUUCUAUUUUGUCUAAUAAAUAUGAUACAGUAUAACAUCACAUAUGUACACUAUACAUACCACAAAAUUCACGCGUAGAAGGAGAAAUCAGUCAGUUUCCUUACCGAACUGUCACAUCAAAAGUACUAUUUUUUAUAUGGUUAGAUUUUAAAUUUUUUCUCUGAUAUAGUCAUCUAGCUAAUUCAUCCAUAAUACAUAAUGGUAGCAUAAAAUGUUAUUCAAAAAUGUAUUAUGGUUUCAAAGUCAAAAGCUUUGAACUUUUCAAGAUAUGCCUACUCGCGGGUCAUCUUCUUUCACCUUCGUCUAUCUGUGUAUAUACAUAAAUACGUAUCUCAUGACUGCAAAUAAACCAAAAAAAAUG
This 8545-nucleotide long non-coding RNA is filed under the name Brassica rapa (field mustard). RNAcentral describes it as "long non-coding RNA (BRAP_LNC006478)". Lineage: Eukaryota; Viridiplantae; Streptophyta; Magnoliopsida; Brassicales; Brassicaceae. The record is from RNAcentral.